GAGUUUGAUCAUGGCUCAGGAUGAACGCUGGCGGCGUGCUUAACACAUGCAAGUCGAACGAACCUUCGGGUUAGUGGCGGACGGGUGAGUAACGCGUGGGAAUCUGCCCUCAGGAGGGGGAUAACGGUUGGAAACGACCGCUAAUACCCCAUAUGCCGAGAGGUGAAAUGAAUUUCGCCUGAGGAUGAGCCCGCGUCUGUUUAGCUUGUUGGUGAGGUAAUGGCUCACCAAGGCAUCGAUCAGUAGCUGGUCUGAGAGGAUGAUCAGCCACACUGGGACUGAGACACGGCCCAGACUCCUACGGGAGGCAGCAGUGGGGAAUUUUCCGCAAUGGACGAAAGUCUGACGGAGCUACGCCGCGUGAGGGACGAAGGCCUCUGGGCCGUAAACCUCUUUUCUCAAGGAAGAAGAUAUGACGGUACUUGAGGAAUAAGCCACGGCUAAUUCCGUGCCAGCAGCCGCGGUAAUACGGGAGUGGCAAGCGUUAUCCGGAAUUAUUGGGCGUAAAGCGUCCGCAGGCGGCCUUUCAAGUCUGCUGUUAAAGCGUAGAGCUUAACUCCAUCUUGGCAGUGGAAACUGAUUGGCUUGAGUAUGGUAGGGGUAGAGGGAAUUCCCGGUGUAGCGGUGAAAUGCGUAGAUAUUGGGAAGAACACCAGUGGCGAAGGCGCUCUACUGGGCCAUUACUGACGCUCAUGGACGAAAGCCAGGGGAGCGAAAGGGAUUAGAUACCCCUGUAGUCCUGGCCGUAAACGAUGAACACUAGGUGUCGGGGGAAUCGACCCCUUCGGUGUCGUAGCUAACGCGUUAAGUGUUCCGCCUGGGGAGUACGCACGCAAGUGUGAAACUCAAAGGAAUUGACGGGGGCCCGCACAAGCGGUGGAGUAUGUGGUUUAAUUCGAUGCAACGCGAAGAACCUUACCAGGGCUUGACAUCCUGCGAACCUUUAAGAAAUUAGAGGGUGCCUUCGGGAACGCAGUGACAGGUGGUGCAUGGCUGUCGUCAGCUCGUGUCAUGAGAUGUUGGGUUAAGUCCCGCAACGAGCGCAACCCACGUUUUUAGUUGCCAGCAUUUAGUUGGGCACUCUAGAAAGACCGCCGGUGAUAAAUCGGAGGAAGGUGUGGAUGACGUCAAGUCAUCAUGCCCCUUACGUCCUGGGCUACACACGUACUACAAUGCUACGGACAAAGGGCAGCAAACUCGCGAGAGCUAGCAAAUCCCAUAAACCGUGGCUCAGUUCAGAUCGUAGGCUGCAACUCGCCUACGUGAAGUAGGAAUCGCUAGUAAUCGCAGGUCAGCAUACUGCGGUGAAUACGUUCCCGGGCCUUGUACACACCGCCCGUCACACCAUGGAAGUUGGCCACGCCCGAAGUCGUUACUUUAACCCUUGUGGAGAAGGACGCCGAAGGUGGGGCUGAUGACUGGGGUGAAGUCGUAACAAGGUAACC
RNAcentral lists this ribosomal RNA (1445 nucleotides) under uncultured marine cyanobacterium. RNAcentral's name for it is "bacterial SSU rRNA". It matches the Rfam family "Bacterial small subunit ribosomal RNA". The record is from RNAcentral. Lineage: Bacteria; Bacillati; Cyanobacteriota.